This 1948-nucleotide long non-coding RNA is filed under the name Salmo salar (Atlantic salmon). Its description in RNAcentral is "lncRNA (ENSSSAG00000101888.1, ENSSSAG00000116472.1)". Lineage: Eukaryota; Metazoa; Chordata; Actinopteri; Salmoniformes; Salmonidae. The record is from RNAcentral.
CUAACAGACAGACAAGGCGGAGAUGAGGGGCCGAGAUGCUAACAGACAGACAAGGCGGAGAUGAGUGGCCGAGAUGCUAACAGACAGACAAGGCGGAGAUGAGUGGCCGAGACACGCACAGACAGACAAGGCGGAGAUGAGUGGCCGAGAUGCUAACAGACAGACAAGGCGGAGAUGAGGGGCCGAGAUGCUAACAGACAGACAAGGCGGAGAUGAGUGGCCGAGAUGCUAACAGACAGACAAGGCGGAGAUGAGUGGCCGAGACACGCACAGACAGACAAGGUGGAGAUGAGUGGCCGAGACGCUAACAGACAGACAAGGUGGAGAUGAGUGGCCGAGACGCGCACGGACUGGACAGACAAGGCUGAGAUGAGUGACCGAGACGCGCAUGGACAAGGUGGAGAUGAGUGGCCGAGACGCGCACGGACAGACAAGGCGAAGAUGAGUGGACGAGACGCUAACAGACAGACAAGGCGGAGAUGAGUGUCCGAGACGCGCACGGACAGACAAGGUGGAGAUGAGUGGCCGAGACGCUAACAGACAGACAAGGCGGAGAUGAGUGUCCGAGACGCGCACGGACAGACAAGGUGGAGAUGAGUGGCCGAGACGCUAACAGACAGACAAGGCGGAGAUGAGUCGCCGAGACGAGCACGGACAAGGUGGAGAUGAGUGGCCGAGACGCUAACAGACAGACAAGGCGGAGAUGAGUGGCCGAGAUGCUAACAGACAGACAAGGUGGAGAUGAGUGGCCGAGACGCUAACAGACAGACAAGGCGGAGAUGAGUCGCCGAGACGCGCACGGACAAGGUGGAGAUGAGUGGCCGAGACUCUAACAGACAGACAAGGCGGAGAUGAGUGUCCGAGACGCGCACGGACAGACAAGGUGGAGAUGAGUGGCCGAGACGCUAACAGACAGACAAGGCGGAGAUGAGUCGCCGAGACGAGCAUGGACAGACAAGGCGGAGAUGAGUGGCCGAGAUGCUAACAGACAGACAAGGCGGAGAUGAGUGGCCGAGAUGCUAACAGACAGACAAGGCGGAGAUGAGUGGCCGAGACGCUAACAGACAGACAAGGCGGAGAUGAGUGGCCGAGACACGCACAGACAGACAAGGUGGAGAUGAGUGGCCGAGACGCUAACAGACAGACAAGGUGGAGAUGAGUGGCCGAGACGCGCACGGACAGGACAGACAAGGCUGAGAUGAGUGGCCGAGACGCGCAUGGACAAGGUGGAGAUGAGUGGCCGAGACGCGCACGGACAGACAAGGCGGAGAUGAGUGGCCGAGACGCUAACAGACAGACAAGGCGGAGAUGAGUGUCCGAGACGCGCACGGACAGACAAGGUGGAGAUGAGUGGCCGAGACGCUAACAGACAGACAAGGCGGAGAUGAGUGUCCGAGACGCGCACGGACAGACAAGGUGGAGAUGAGUGGCCGAGACGCUAACAGACAGACAAGGCGGAGAUGAGUCGCCGAGACGCGCACGGACAGACAAGGUGGAGAUGAGUGGCCGAGACGCUAACAGACAGACAAGGCGGAGAUGAGUGGCCGAGAUGCUAACAGACAGACAAGGUGGAGAUGAGUGGCCGAGACGCUAACAGACAGACAAGGUGGAGAUGAGUGGCCGAGACGCGCACGGACAGGACAGACAAGGCGGAGAUGAGUGGCCGAGACGCGCACGGACAAGGUGGAGAUGAGUGGCCGAGACGCGCACGGACAGGACAGACAAGGCUGAGAUGAGUGGCCGAGACGCGCAUGGACAAGGUGGAGAUGAGUGGCCGAGACGCGCACGGACAGACAAGGCGGAGAUGAGUGGCCGAGACGCUAACAGACAGACAAGGCGGAGAUGAGUGUCCGAGACGCGCACAGACAGACAAGGCGGAGAUGAGUGGCCGAGACGCUAACAGACAGACAAGGCGGAGAUGAGUGUCCGAGACGCGCACGGACAGACA